Molecule: ribosomal RNA, 433 nt
Filed under: uncultured Lachnospiraceae bacterium
Lineage: Bacteria; Bacillati; Bacillota; Clostridia; Lachnospirales; Lachnospiraceae
Description: partial 16S ribosomal RNA
Rfam family: Bacterial small subunit ribosomal RNA
Source: RNAcentral
ACGGGGGCAGCAGUGGGGAAUAUUGCACAAUGGGGGAAACCCUGAUGCAGCGACGCCGCGUGAGUGAAGAAGUAUUUCGGUAUGUAAAGCUCUAUCAGCAGGGAAGAAAAUGACGGUACCUGACUAAGAAGCCCCGGCUAACUACGUGCCAGCAGCCGCGGUAAUACGUAGGGGGCAAGCGUUAUCCGGAUUUACUGGGUGUAAAGGGAGCGUAGACGGUAAUGCAAGUCAGAAGUGAAAGCCCAGGGCUCAACCGUGGGACUGCUUUUGAAACUGCAAUACUGGAGUGCAGGAGAGGUAAGUGGAAUUCCUAGUGUAGCGGUGAAAUGCGUAGAUAUUAGGAGGAACACCAGUGGCGAAGGCGGCUUACUGGACUGUAACUGACGUUGAGGCUCGAAAGCGUGGGGAGCAAACAGGAUUAGAUACCCUGGUA